GUCUAUGGCCAUACCACCCUGGAUGUAGCUGAUCUUGUCUGAUCUCGGAAGCUAAGCAAGUUUGGGCCUGCUUAGUACUUGGAUGGGAGAAAAUAUAAUGUUAUAUGAU
RNAcentral lists this ribosomal RNA (109 nucleotides) under Macaca nemestrina (pig-tailed macaque). Lineage: Eukaryota; Metazoa; Chordata; Mammalia; Primates; Cercopithecidae. The record is from RNAcentral.